CAACAGUUGACAGUCAAAAACAGUAGAUAUAAAGAGUACGUUGCUAAUGCAACAUAUUUUGACAGCUGGUAGCAUCAUAGCAAUAGCACUAAGUAUAAUAGUGAGUUUUUCCGGGAGUUGGAAGUCACGAAAAUGAGAUUAAUCUUUCUUAUUUGGUUUGCAAUACUGACACUCGUCUUUGCUGAACCUAAUCCGAACGAAGAAAUAUGCAAUGGAGAAAUAAAUGAAGAAUUCGGUAUUGAGGGCUUCGAAGAAGAAGAACUUCAAAACAAGUUGGAAGAAAUCUUCACUCCAAUUUUGAUGAACAAUCCAAAUGCAGAAUUAAAAAUUUCUACUUUUAUCGACGUCA
Non-coding RNA from Styela clava, 349 nucleotides. Lineage: Eukaryota; Metazoa; Chordata; Ascidiacea; Stolidobranchia; Styelidae. The record is from RefSeq and is a predicted model, not a curated record.